This 468-nucleotide ribosomal RNA is filed under the name uncultured bacterium. RNAcentral's name for it is "partial 16S ribosomal RNA". It matches the Rfam family "Bacterial small subunit ribosomal RNA", at positions 28 to 507 of the family's 1533-position model. The record is from RNAcentral.
GACGAACGCUGGCGGCGUGCUUAACACAUGCAAGUCGAACGGAAAGGCCCUGCUUUUGUGGGGUGCUCGAGUGGCGAACGGGUGAGUAACACGUGAGUAACCUGCCCUUGACUUUGGGAUAACUUCAGGAAACUGGGGCUAAUACCGGAUAGGAGCUCCUGCUGCAUGGUGGGGGUUGGAAAGUUUCGGCGGGUGGGGAUGGACUCGCGGCUUAUCAGCUUGUUGGUGGGGUAGUUGGUUACCAAGGCUUUGACGGGUAUCCCGCCCGGGGAGGUGACCGGCCCACAUGGGACUGAGGUACGGACCAGGCUGCCACGGGAGGCAAGAGGGGGGAAUCAUGCACAAAGGGCGGAAGCCUGAUGCAGCAACGCCGCGUGCGGGAUGACGGCCUUCGGGUUGUAAACCGCUUUCGCCUGUGACGAAGCGUGAGUGACGGUAAUGGGUAAAGAAGCACCGGCUAACUACGUG